Myodes glareolus (Bank vole) is the source of this 173-nucleotide non-coding RNA. NCBI's taxonomy places the organism in Eukaryota, Metazoa, Chordata, Mammalia, Rodentia, Cricetidae. The record is from RefSeq and is a predicted model, not a curated record.
ACAGAUGCUAGUCCUGAAUCAACAUGGUUUCCUGAAUUUUCUCCUCAACCACUGGAAUAUAGCAGUAAUGUUCUCUUCUCAAACUCCUUCCUACUGGGAUUACAGGAUAUCUAUGGAUCCCUGAGGACUGUUCCCUGGUUAUUCUUUUCUAUAUACCUUUUAUCCACUAAUGA